This 550-nucleotide ribosomal RNA is filed under the name uncultured Alphaproteobacteria bacterium. RNAcentral describes it as "bacterial SSU rRNA". It matches the Rfam family "Bacterial small subunit ribosomal RNA", at positions 55 to 648 of the family's 1533-position model. The record is from RNAcentral. Lineage: Bacteria; Pseudomonadati; Pseudomonadota; Alphaproteobacteria.
AUGCAAGUCGAACGCGUGUAGCAAUACACGAGUGGCGCACGGGUGAGUAACGCGUGGAUAUCUGCCUUUUGGUUCGGAAUAACCCCGGGAAACUGGGGCUAAUACCGGAUGGUUCCUACGGGAUAAAGAUUUAUCGCCAAAAGAUGAGUCCGCGUCCGAUUAGCUAGUUGGUGAGGUAAUGGCUCACCAAGGCGACGAUCGGUAGCUGAUCUGAGAGGACGAUCAGCCACACUGGGACUGAGACACGGCCCAGACUCCUACGGGAGGCAGCAGUGGGGAAUAUUGGACAAUGGGGGCAACCCUGAUCCAGCCAUGCCGCGUGAGUGAUGAAGGCCUUCGGGUUGUAAAGCUCUUUUGGCGGGGACGAAUGAUGACGGUACCCGCAGAAUAAGCCCCGGCUAACUUCGUGCCAGCAGCCGCGGUAAGACGAAGGGGGCUAGCGUUGUUCGGAAUUACUGGGCGUAAAGCGAGUGUAGGUGGUUUUCCAAGUUGGAUGUGAAAGCCUUGAGCUCAACUCAAGAAAUGCAUUCAGGACUGGGAGACUAGAGGA